Molecule: transfer-messenger RNA, 355 nt
Filed under: Candidatus Dadabacteria bacterium
Lineage: Bacteria; Pseudomonadati; Thermodesulfobacteriota; Candidatus Dadabacteria
Rfam family: transfer-messenger RNA
About the family: Bacterial tmRNA, also known as 10Sa RNA or SsrA, is named for its dual tRNA and mRNA-like properties. Its role is to liberate the mRNA from a stalled ribosome.
Source: RNAcentral
GGGGGCGAUCGGCUUCGACGAGGAAUGGGAUAGCCUAAGCGGCAUGUCGAGUUUCUGCUAACUCGAAAAACUGGCAGAGCACAUAUAAGUGCCGAACCAAUCAACGCACUCGCUGCUUAAUUAAAGCAGUGACGUCUCAGAAAACCUUGCCCGUUGGGUUUUCAUGGGGCGUGAACAAGACGGGAUAGUCCGCAAAUGAUGCUUGGGGCAUAUGUGGAUGAAACAAACACUCAAGCUGGCGUUGAAAAGCCUGCCCAUAGGAUUUUUCAUCGCGAGAACUAAAUAUGGGAUAAACAUGUAGAUGCUGGGUGACGCCCUUUUUCGGACCUGGGUUCGAUUCCCAGCGCCUCCACCA